Molecule: ribosomal RNA, 349 nt
Filed under: uncultured bacterium
Lineage: Bacteria
Description: partial 16S ribosomal RNA
Rfam family: Bacterial small subunit ribosomal RNA
Source: RNAcentral
CCUACGGGUGGCAGCAGUCGAGAAUCAUUCACAAUGGGGGAAACUCUGAUGGUGCGAUGCCGCGUGGGGGAAUGAAGGUCUUCGGAUUGUAAACUCCUGUCAUGUGGGAGCAAACUAAAAAGAUAGUACCACAAGAGGAAGAGACGGCUAACUCGGUGCCAGCAGCCGCGGUAAUACAGAGGACUCAAGCGUUGUUCGGAAUCACUGGGCGUAAGGCGUGCGGAGGCUGUUUGGCAAGUCGGAUGUGAAAGGCGGGGGUUCAACUCGCGAACGGCACAUGAUACUGUGAGGCUAGAGUAAAGGAGGGGGAAGCGGAAUGCACGGUGUAGCAGUGAAAUGCGUAGAGAUC